RNAcentral lists this non-coding RNA (30 nucleotides) under Rattus norvegicus (Norway rat). The record is from RNAcentral. Lineage: Eukaryota; Metazoa; Chordata; Mammalia; Rodentia; Muridae.
UGUCUGUGUCUGUAAUUGCAGUGAUGGAGU